UACGUAGGGGGCAAGCGUUAUCCGGGUUUACUGGGUGUAAAGGGAGCGUAGACGGCUGUGCAAGCCAGAUGUGAAAGCCCGGGGCUCAGCCCCGGGACUGCAUUUGGAACUGUGUAGCUGGAGUGUCGGAGAGGCAGGCGGAAUUCCUAGUGUAGCGGUGAAAUGCGUAGAUAUUAGGAGGAACACCAGUGGCGAAGGCGGCCUGCUGGACGAUGACUGACGUUGAGGCUCGAAAGCGUGGGGAGCAAACAGG
This 253-nucleotide ribosomal RNA is filed under the name uncultured bacterium. Its description in RNAcentral is "partial 16S ribosomal RNA". It matches the Rfam family "Bacterial small subunit ribosomal RNA", at positions 524 to 776 of the family's 1533-position model. The record is from RNAcentral.